This 759-nucleotide ribosomal RNA is filed under the name Neofusicoccum parvum. RNAcentral's name for it is "eukaryotic LSU rRNA". The stretch from base 386 to 539 matches the Rfam family "5.8S ribosomal RNA". Lineage: Eukaryota; Fungi; Ascomycota; Dothideomycetes; Botryosphaeriales; Botryosphaeriaceae. The record is from RNAcentral.
GGAAUUGGGGUAUGGGCUAGUUUCGUUUUCGCUUGCAGUUCAUCUUCACUUUUCUCCAUUUAAUAGCGUAGCAAGGUUUCCGUAGGUGAACCUGCGGAGGGAUCAUUCAUAAUCAAGUGUUCUUUAGGGCGCUUUAAAAAAUCAAAAACACGGAAGUAAAAAGUCGUAACAAGGUUUCCGUAGGUGAACCUGCGGAAGGAUCAUUACCGAGUUGAUUCGAAGCUCCGGCUCGACUCUCCCACCCAAUGUGUACCUACCUCUGUUGCUUUGGCGGGCCGCGGUCCUCCGCACCGGCGCCCUUCGGGGGGCUGGCCAGCGCCCGCCAGAGGACCAUAAAACUCCAGUCAGUGAACUUCGCAGUCUGAAAAACAAGUUAAUAAACUAAAACUUUCAACAACGGAUCUCUUGGUUCUGGCAUCGAUGAAGAACGCAGCGAAAUGCGAUAAGUAAUGUGAAUUGCAGAAUUCAGUGAAUCAUCGAAUCUUUGAACGCACAUUGCGCCCCUUGGUAUUCCGAGGGGCAUGCCUGUUCGAGCGUCAUUUCAACCCUCAAGCUCUGCUUGGUAUUGGGCCCCGUCCUCCACGGACGCGCCUUAAAGACCUCGGCGGUGGCGUCUUGCCUCAAGCGUAGUAGAAAACACCUCGCUUUGGAGCGCACGGCGUCGCCCGCCGGACGAACCUUUGAAUUAUUUCUCAAGGUUGACCUCGGAUCAGGUAGGGAUACCCGCUGAACUUAAGCAUAUCAUAAGCGGGAAGGAAA